Molecule: unclassified non-coding RNA, 292 nt
Filed under: uncultured bacterium
Lineage: Bacteria
Description: partial contains 16S ribosomal RNA and 16S-23S ribosomal RNA intergenic spacer region
Rfam family: Bacterial small subunit ribosomal RNA
Source: RNAcentral
CGAGAAAGGGGGCUUCGGUCCCUGAGUAAAGCGGCUCACGGGUGAGUAUCACGUGGGUAACGUGCCCUCCGGAUGGGGGAUAACACCUCGCAAGGGGUGCUAAUACCGCGUACGACCCCGAGGCUUCGGCUUCGGGGUGAUAGGGGAAACCUGACGGAGGAUCGGCCCGCGGCCCAUCAGCUUGUUGGCGGGGUAACGGCCCACCAAGGCGACGACGGGUAGCUGGUCUGAGAGGAUGAUCAGCCACACUGGAACUGAGACACGGUCCAGACUCCUACGGGAGGCAGCAGUG